RNAcentral lists this transfer RNA (77 nucleotides) under bacterium. RNAcentral's name for it is "tRNA-Asp". It matches the Rfam family "tRNA". From Rfam's summary of the family: Transfer RNA (tRNA) molecules are approximately 80 nucleotides in length. Their secondary structure includes four short double-helical elements and three loops (D, anti-codon, and T loops). Further hydrogen bonds mediate the characteristic L-shaped molecular structure. tRNAs have two regions of fundamental functional importance: the anti-codon, which is responsible for specific mRNA codon recognition, and the 3' end, to which the tRNAs corresponding amino acid is attached (by aminoacyl-tRNA synthetases). tRNAs cope with the degeneracy of the genetic code in two manners: having more than one tRNA (with a specific anti-codon) for a particular amino acid; and 'wobble' base-pairing, i.e. permitting non-standard base-pairing at the 3rd anti-codon position. The record is from RNAcentral. RNAcentral also lists the same sequence under 2 other names.
GGGGGCGUAGCUCAAUCGGUUAGAGUGCCGGCCUGUCACGCCGGAGGUUACGGGUUCGAUUCCCGCCGCCCUCGCCA